GUGAGGAAUAUUGGACAAUGGUCGGAAGACUGAUCCAGCCAUGCCGCGUGCAGGAUGACGGCCCUAUGGGUUGUAAACUGCUUUUAUACGGGAAGAAACCCGCCUACGUGUAGGCGGCUGACUGUACCGUAAGAAUAAGGACCGGCUAACUCCGUGCCAGCAGCCGCGGUAAUACGGAGGGUCCGAGCGUUAUCCGGAAUCAUUGGGUUUAAAGGGUCCGUAGGCGGGCCUGUAAGUCAGGGGUGAAAGUUUGUGGCUCAACCAUAAAAUUGCCUUUGAUACUGCAGGUCUUGAGUCAUGGUGGGGUUGCCGGAACAUGUGGUGUAGCGGUGAAAUGCAUAGAUAUCACAUAGAACACCGAUCGCGAAGGCAGGUGACCAACCAUGUACUGACGCUGAUGGACGAAAGCGUGGGUAGCGAACGGGAUUAGAUACCCUAGUAGUCC
Molecule: ribosomal RNA, 445 nt
Filed under: uncultured bacterium
Lineage: Bacteria
Description: bacterial SSU rRNA
Rfam family: Bacterial small subunit ribosomal RNA
Source: RNAcentral